CCUACGGGCGGCAGCAGUCGAGAAUCAUUCACAAUGGGGGAAACCCUGAUGGUGCGACACCGCGUGGGGGAAUGAAGGUCUUCGGAUUGUAAACCCCUGUCAUGUGGGAGCAAAUUAAAAAGAUAGUACCACAAGAGGAAGAGACGGCUAACUCUGUGCCAGCAGCCGCGGUAAUACAGAGGUCUCAAGCGUUGUUCGGAAUAACGGGGCGUAAGGCGUGCGUAGGCUGUUUCGUAAGUCGUGUGUGAAAGGCGCGGGCUCAACCCGCGGACGGCACAUGAUACUGCGAGACUAGAGUAAUGGAGGGGGAACCGGAAUUCUCGGGGUAGCAGUGAAAUGCGUAGAUAUCGAGAGGAACACUCGUGGCGAAGGCGGGUUCCUGGACAUUAACUGACGCUGAGGCACGAAGGCCAGGGGAGCGAAAGGGAUUAGAUACCCUAGUAGUC
This 446-nucleotide ribosomal RNA is filed under the name uncultured bacterium. Its description in RNAcentral is "partial 16S ribosomal RNA". It matches the Rfam family "Bacterial small subunit ribosomal RNA", at positions 338 to 795 of the family's 1533-position model. The record is from RNAcentral.